This 398-nucleotide ribosomal RNA is filed under the name uncultured bacterium. Its description in RNAcentral is "bacterial SSU rRNA". It matches the Rfam family "Bacterial small subunit ribosomal RNA", at positions 29 to 418 of the family's 1533-position model. The record is from RNAcentral.
AACGAACGCUGGCGGCGCGCCUAAUACAUGCAAGUCGAGCGAGAAGACGUAGCAAUACGUUUGUAAAGCGGCGAACGGGUGAGGAACACAUGGGUAACCUACCCUAGAGUGGGGAAUAACUAGCCGAAAGGUUAGCUAAUACCGCGUACGCUCCUUGGACUUCGGUACAGGGAGGAAAGCGAUACCGUGGGUAUCGCGCUCUUGGAUGGGCUCAUGUCCUAUCAGCUUGUUGGUGAGGAACGGCUCACCAAGGCUUCGACGGGUAGCUGGUCUGAGAGGACGAUCAGCCACACUGGCACUGCGACACGGGCCAGACUCCUACGGGAGCAGCAGUAAGGAAUAUUGCGCAAAUGGGCGAAAGCCUGACGCAGCGACGCCGCGUGGGGGAUGAAGGUCUU